This 487-nucleotide ribosomal RNA is filed under the name uncultured bacterium. RNAcentral describes it as "bacterial SSU rRNA". It matches the Rfam family "Bacterial small subunit ribosomal RNA", at positions 21 to 507 of the family's 1533-position model. The record is from RNAcentral.
GGCUCAGGAUGAACGCUAGCGGGAGGCUUAACACAUGCAAGUCGAAGGGCAGCACGUCUUCGGAUGGUGGCGACUGGCGAACGGGUGCGUAACGCGUAUGCAACCUACCCUCAACAGGGGAAUAGCCCAGAGAAAUUUGGAUUAAUACCCCAUAGUAUUACAGAUUCGCAUGUUUCUGUGAUUAAAGUUCCAACGGUUGAGGAUGGGCAUGCGUGACAUUAGCUUGUUGGUGAGGUAACGGCUCACCAAGGCAACGAUGUCUAGGGGUUCUGAGAGGAUGAUCCCCCACACUGGUACUGAGACACGGACCAGACUCCUACGGGAGGCAGCAGUGAGGAAUAUUGGACAAUGGAGGCAACUCUGAUCCAGCCAUCCCGCGUGCAGGAAGAAGGCCCUAUGGGUUGUAAACUGCUUUUAUACAGGAAUAAACCCCUCUACGUGUAGAGGGCUGAAGGUACUGUAAGAAUAAGCACCGGCUAACUCCGUG